GAUGAACGCUGGCGGCGUGCCUAAUACAUGCAAGUCGAGCGAACAGACGAGGAGCUUGCUCCUCUGACGUUAGCGGCGGACGGGUGAGUAACACAUGGAUAACCUACCUAUAAGACUGGGAUAACUUCGGGAAACCGGAGCUAAUACCGGAUAAUAUAUUGAACCGCAUGGUUCAAUAGUGAAAGACGGUUUUGCUGUCACUUAUAGAUGGAUCCGCGCCGCAUUAGCUAGUUGGUAAGGUAACGGCUUACCAAGGCGACGAUGCGUAGCCGACCUGAGAGGGUGAUCGGCCACACUGGAACUGAGCCACGGUCCAGACUCCUACGGGAGGCAGCAGUAGGGAAUCUUCCGCAAUGGGCGAAAGCCUGACGGAGCAACGCCGCGUGAGUGAUGAAGGUCUUCGGAUCGUAAAACUCUGUUAUUAGGGAAGAACAAAUGUGUAAGUAACUAUGCACGUCUUGACGGUACCUAAUCAGAAAGCCACGGCUAACUACGUG
RNAcentral lists this ribosomal RNA (497 nucleotides) under uncultured bacterium. RNAcentral's name for it is "partial 16S ribosomal RNA". It matches the Rfam family "Bacterial small subunit ribosomal RNA", at positions 28 to 507 of the family's 1533-position model. The record is from RNAcentral.